UCCACUGAAUCGCUUGUCUUUUUGAGGAUCAUAGUUUUUCAGACCAAUCUGGAGUUCAAUGGUCUCAGUAAAUUUGCGCUGUUUCUCCUUUGACUGAGUUACAAUGGUUGAUAUAGCUUCUCUAAGCGCAUCACUCUGAAGCUUACUGUAAAUAAGAUAUCCAAAACCUUUCAGGAAAGAAAACUAUAAACCACCUCACAAACUUCAUAAGUUUGCAUAACGAAGGGUUAAUCAUGGCACCAUAAACAAUUCAAAAUCACAAAAUGAACACCCCGAAACAAUGCAUAGUUCAAGCAAAUAAUUCUCAGAAUGGUUCCCCUGGCACUGAUGACAAUCCAAAUUCACAACUUAAAAUUCACAAUCUAAUCAACGAGACAAAACAUUGAGUGCUAACUAAAAGUGAACACUAAGAAUACCUAACGAAAACGCUAUUUCAAAAUAUUUCAAAGGUUAAAGUACCUAACAGAUUAUCCUAUAAAACACAAAUGAAAGAAGGAACCAACUCUUCUAAUUCGAGUCCAGUAAAUCAAUCAUCAAUAGCAAAAUUAAAAUGACCUCAACUCUGAAUCAACAACUGAUUAUUUCACCGAUGAAAGCACCCAACAGAUUAUCCUAUAAAAUACAAAUAACGAAAGGGUCCAAACUCUCCUAAUUCGAUUCCAUAAAUCAAUAAUCAAUAGCAAAAUAUACAUCACCUCAUCUUUGAAUCUUUGUUCUUUCCACAAACAAUAAAAUUUUACCUGCGAAACAAGGUUACAAAGUCAUCAAAAACUUAAAGAAGUCUUAAAAUGAAAUUAGAUCUGCGAUGAAAUGGGCGUUAUAGUAAAAGAGGGUUUAGACAGAGGGGGGGUGAGUAGCUACCGCCAACAAGAGAUGAGAAAAACCCUGGCCAGAUUUUCUAGGCUUUGUAGAAAACAUAUAGGCGGGUCAGUCGAAAUAGUAAAACUAAUCUUGGGCCACUGGCAGUCUAGCCCAAUUUCCUUGAAUUAUGAAUACAGCCCAGUUUAAUACUAGAUUGGUUCAGCCCAAAAAACUUAAAUAUUUGUUUGUUUAUUAUUAUUAUUAUCUAAUUUUAAUUUAAUUUUAACAUGAAAUUUUAAAAAUUAAUCAUCAUAUUUAAAAAAAAGUAUUUUUUAAAUUGCUUAAUUUAUCUGUUAUAUUUUUAUUUUCCAAUACCUUUAAAAAUAUUUUUAUUUUUAAAUUUAGUUUCAUAAAAUUUGAUGUGUUAUUUAAUGGUUAAAUUAAAAAUUUUAAUAACAAAAAGACUUAAUUAAUAUAAUAUCAAAAAAUUAAAUGUAUAAUUAAAAUUUUUAAAGUUUAAAAACUAAUUUAAAAUAAGGAUUAUAAUUUAAUUGAGGGAAAUUUUUACAACAACUUAAAAAAUUACAAAACUCAUGCAAUCUUGUAAAAUAAUUGAGAAUCUGUUUUCUUUUUCUUCUAAGUUGUAACAUUGAAUAUGUUCCUCUUCUUUUUCGCCCUGAAAUUGAAUUCAUUAACUCUUGCAUUUUGAACACACUUUACCUUCUCCAAAUUUACAAAUCUAUUUUGAAAUUGCAUAUCUUCUUGAAUUAAUCUGAAAUUUUCCGAAUCUCGAAAUUCCUUCAAAUUAUUUAUAGUUCGAUUCUAUCUAACCUUGCAAAAUAUUCAAGACAAAUUUUUAAAAAUUAUUUAUUACAUUUUUUGGAAAAGACGUAAUUUAUAUAUAUUUAUUUUAUUUUCAAAUAAAGUUAACAUUAUUUACGCAAUAUAUAUAAUAAUUAUUUUAUGAAAAAAAUACAUAUUUCUUAUAAAGUUUAAAUAUUUUUAUUUUUCAUUUUUUGCUAUGUGCCAAAAUAAGAGAUUGACACAUGUUGCUAUACUAUCAGUUGUCAUGCCAUAUCAACCUAUUUUAUUAGGUAUCUAAAAUAAAUAUCAAAUUAGAUUAUGAUUUUUAAAUUUAAGUAUUAAUUAAAUCUAAAAAUAUUAGAUACCAAAUAGAUAAAAAAAAUCACCAAAUUUAAGUACCUUCUUAUAUAUUAUCCCAUUUGUUAACUUGGUUGUAACUAAAAAGUUUAUACACUGUAGUAAAUGUCCCUACGCACCAUAAUGGGGAAAAUCAUUGACUUUUUUUACUACAAAAAAAACUUUUUUAGUUUUUCAUUUAAUUUUUUUAUUUCUUUUAGCCUUUAAUUUUUAUUUGUUAUCAAAUCACUUCAAAAUAAAUCAAAACACCUCAGUAUUUAAUUAGUUUAAGAUUUUAAAUAAAAAUUUUAAAUAUUUUUUUAUAAUAAUAGUCUUUUCAAAAGUCAUUUGUCAUAUUACAAGAUUUAUAUUUUUAAUAUAAUUGAAGAGUUGUAUCAUGCAAAAAGAUAUGGGUGAGGUUGAUAGUACGAAGAAAAAUUUGAGUCCGCUGUAUUUUGCAAAGAAUUUUGUGUGAUAAGUCCAGAUUUUGUAUUUACAUUUGGCAACCGAACCUUGGUGGUCUGCAAAGUUGCCUACACAUCUUUGUUGAUUCUUUAUAAAUAAGGCCUGCAACUUUGGUUGCAGACACUCUUGCUCUUAUCUCUUUUUUUUUCCUUUCUGAAAACAUUUCUGCUUAGAAUCACACACACACACACACACACACACACACAUCAGUGUCUUUUAGUGUUUGCCAAAGGCUUAACAUACUUCAAAUGCAGAAACAGAUUUUUCAGCCCUUGAUCUCCUGCAAGAAUAUCAUCAUGUGAGUUCAAUUGAUUCCUCUUCUCUGUUCUUAAAAAUCUUUUGAUUCAUUCAAUGUUGGUUUCCAACAGAAUCACAAAAAUGUUGCUUUUGGUUUCCAAGAAGUUGUUGCUUGUCUCUGUAAAUAGUUUUAGAAAAAAAAAUCUGAUUGAGAUUUGAGAUUUGUUGGUAUCCUAUUAUAAUUCAGAUAAGCUAUAUCAGUAUAAUAUCUUUUUUCAAUUUAAAUUAGAAUUCUCUUUCCUGUAGAUUUGGUUGUAUGUAAUUGCACUGUUUUCUUAUAUGAUUGUUAGGCACAAUUAAAAUAUGACUACAAAAAUAUAAUCCUUUAAAUAUAUUAAAAGAUUUAAGAAAAAAAAGUUGAUUGAGUCUUAAUUUGAUUGGUAUGGGUAUUGUUAGUAAUGCAGGAAGAUAUGGUUUUAAGUACACUGAAAGGCUAGGUAAUUUUUAAUACUCAAUUUAACUCAAAUGGUUAUUUUUUAUUUUUUCUAGUAAAAAUCAUAACUUAAAGUGCUGCAAAGAUAAAAAUUUUAAGUAUUAAGAAAGUUCAUGCUUAAUUGUUCUUAUAAUUUCUCAGGAACUAUGACUUGAUCACAAUAUAUAUAUAUAUGUGUGCAUGGUUUAUGAAUUAUUUGGCAAUAAAAUUAUCUGAACUUAAUCAUUGAGAUAAUUUGAGAUUCUUAACCUUCUGUCUCUGUGUGUAGGUCUUUACAGCUGAAAUCUGCCUGAAAUUAUCUGGAAAAGAAAAGUGUUUUGUCUACAACUUUGGUGAUUAAGGGAGAAUAAUGGGGGAUAAUACAUUGGAUUGGGCUAGUUUACUUGCUGGAUUACCAGACUCUGAUGAAUUGAUGUCACUGUUAGUGAAUGAUGUCAUAGUUGAGAAACCAGAAGAUGAACAGCCGCAAGAAGGCAGCAAAUUCCUAGUGCAACCUACAACAGUGAUACCACAGCAGCAGGACAUUCAUAAUGUCGCGACAGAUGUUGAAACUGGUUCUUCUUCUUGUCGUCUAAAUGAUCAGAAUAAGAUUAUCAGAAAUGGAGGGUGUUUAAUUAAUCCAUUAGGGUUCCCAUAUAGGUGUCGAAUGCAGGUUUUGGCUGCAGAUGCACCAUCAGGAAGUGGAGAGUUGCUCGUAAUGAAUGAUUUACCUGUUUACAAGAGAGGGAGGAACAAUAUACAAGAAGCCAUUGAAGAGGCUGAGCAAAAGAAGAGGAAGAAUAAGAUCAAAAACAGAAUUUCAGCUGAAAAAUCUCGAGCCAAGUCUAAGGUGUGUGUGUGUAGUAGUAGUAGAACGUAUAUAUAUAUGCCAGCAUACUACUACUAGUCGAAAAUUACAAUUGAUCCUUUGUCUUUCCUGUUCCUAGAAUUUGAAUCUCAACAUAUGUAACUCUUCUCCGAUACUAAGGCUACAAUCUUGUUUUGAAGGAGCAUACAAGAUUUCUGGAAGAAAAAGUGGAGCAAUUGAGAAAUGAGAAUGCACAUUUAAAGAAAUUACUUUCCCUGGUGAGAGACCUCACGUUUCUUCUUGACAAGAAACUGAGAAAAUAUACAAUAUUUUCCUAUUUGCCUUGUAUUACUUGUUGAUUUUGGCCUUUCUCAUCUUGCAUGUGGAUCAGGAAGCUGCAUCAACUGAGAGACUCCCAGAGGUACUGAUUUUAUAUAUUCAAUGAACUUAAUAUCCAUAUAUCAAAAUUUCCAAAGGAAAGCAAUGCAUAUCUAUAUUUUAUAACUUACCUUCAUAAAAACCCACCAAACUUAUCAGAUAUUGUCUAAAUCUUGUAAACAAUCCCAUCUUUGUGCAUCAUCAUGUAUUAUACCAGUGUUACCUCACAUCGACUAAAUUAAGUCUUAUAUUCAGAUCGGAUGCUUAAAAAAUGUUGGAGAUUUUCUUCCAUUGUAUGUACAGGAAAGAGGAGAUCUAUGGGAAAAGGCAAAACGGUGUUUAGAAUUGAAAGAACUGCAAACCUAUAUAGGAGCUAUAUAUGGAGACUAAUGAGGAGGUUUAAGCUGACCAAGAUCAAUAGUGGUGGGACCGAAUAACAGUAUGGGAUGGCAUGGUUUCCUUUUAAAUACAUUAUAGGAUCUUCAUUCUACAUCAAAUAUAUAAAGAAAAGCUUUUUGUUUGCCUUUAUUCGACAUGGUUUUCAAAAUAAAGAUAAUUAGAUUUGCAGUGAGCUAGAAGUAUAUCACACUACUGCAAAGUUUUUGAUAAUUUAUAUGUUAUUAUUGCCUGCAAAAGAACAUGGCUUCAAUUAUUUCCUAAUAGAUAGAAUCAUGAUUCACCUGGAUCUUGAGAAAACUACACAAUAUUAGGAGCUGCAAAUAGUUUUAAUCUCUUUUGAGUUCAUCAUUCAAAAAAGAAGGAAGAUGUAUAUUUAUAAGCAUAUUUUACAAUCAAGAAAGAUAAAUAUGGCUGGAUCGACUCAGUCAUCAGAUCUCAGUAUUAAUGGAUUGAUAGAGUGCAAAUGCUAAAAACUGCAUAAACAUUUUUUAUCAAUCAAACUUUAUAUUAGAACCUACAAUUACAAACAGUGGCCAGUUAAUGAGAUUUACAGACUUUAUGAUCCGAAACAGAUAAAGCUCUCGCCCCAGUAAUAAUAUAAGAAAAUCAACAUCCAAUAAUUCAACACAUACUCUGAAUCCUCAUCAACCGUUGAGAACCACUCCUCCUUCCCUCAGCCAUAAGCGAUCAUGUUUUUCUGUAUCAUGAAAGUUGCAUCACCGAUAUAACUCUCAGAUGGAGGCAUAUCCCGAAUGGUGGGCAAACAAGGGAGACCAGUUAAAGGGAAGGGAGAGGAGAGUGAAGAAGUGAUACCUGUGGCUUUACAUCCAUUACCUUACCCCUCUUCAUUAGAAAAUGCGACAGUUAGGGAGAAUCAGCAUCAGGUACUGAUGCAAUCCACCAAAUCCUUUUGUCUGAUGAUUUUGGUCUCUUAGGGGAAAAAACCAAAAUGACUGAUCAGAUUUAGAGCUCAUAAUGCAUAAAGACUCCAAGAGAGAGCUUGCACUUGAUUAAUGUUCUUUUUCUGCCUAAGCAGAAAAGAUUCCUCUUGGUUUUGGCUCUUUUAUGUGCAAAUGAAUGACUUAUCAAUCAACAGCAUUUCCUUGUGAUUUACAGGCAUUUAAUGCAGGCUCAUGUAUCACUUUACUAUCUCUUCAUCCAAAUGCUGCCUUAAAAAAUAGCAUAGCAGUUAAAACAUUUGAUUAAAAUUUGAUAGUUCCUUAGUUGACAGUCUACAUACGGUGCCUUGGCUUCCAAAUGAAAGCCGCACAGUCCUUUGCGUAAUGACAUAUCAAUCCGAGCAUUUCAAUAGAUCUGGCAUUACAAACAAGAAAAAACCAAUUAAAAAGAAAAAGGGAAAGAGGUGUUAUGAAACAAAGAGGAUGGUCUAAGUGUCUAAGAUGGUAUGCAUAAGCUUACUGUUCCAGCAAAGCGACUUAAGGAAAAAUAGUUCCAUUUCAAAUUGUGUUUAUAAACAGUAUGUUUAAAUUCAUCUAAAAUAUAAUGCAGAAGGGUAUGCCUAGCCUACAAGUAUCUCUAAAACAUCUAUUCAACUUAAUGCAGCUUGGAAGAAAAAUGUUUGUCGUAUUUCCCACAAUAGCUACGAUAUUAAUUAAAAGGGCCACUGUACGGUACAUAGUUGCUGGACUGGUAAUAUCAAAUAUGUAUUUAUUUGCAAACCCAAUCUGAAUAUACCACUUCUCAAAAGUUGUACACACUGAUGAAAUUAUCUACAUGAUGAUAAACAACUGUGCAAGCCAUAGCAAUGCUUAGACUAGAAAGAGGUAGAUAUAGACCACCGGGGAGAACUUAUGACAAAGCAUACCUUCCAAUAGCUUGUUUAAUAAACUCUUCCCCGCAAAUUCUUACGUCAGAUUUCAUAUAUCAAUUUCAUAAGCAAAACUAGAAGGCUUGUUGAUGUUUGGUUUUCAAGUAAGAUUUUUUAUGUCGAUUUCAUAAACAACACUUUGAGCUUUCCCACCACUUCAAGAUCGAGGUUGUCCAAGUACAUCCAAAAUAGAAGGUCAUUCAGUUUGAGUCAAAAUGCAAAAAGUUGAACAAUGUAUAAUUCUAGUUUCUAAGAAGAUAGGGCAGGAAAAAGAAAUUUCAUAACACAUAACUAAUCUCAGCUAUGAACAAUUAGUUUUUACUGUUCAUGAGAACCUUAAAGGAGCAAAUCUAAGGAUUCCAUAAUCCAACAUUUGAUUCAACAAUAGUCCAUUCAGAGCUGUUACCAGCUUGUCAAAGCAUAGCAUGCCAAAUUUCCUCCAUAAUCACUAGGAUAAAUAAAAUCUUGGAAAAGAAAACAAAUAGACAGCUAAACCUGCAAGGUAAGCUUGUCAAUACCCGCACAAUACAAUACAUCUUGGAAAUGAGAUCUAAUCAAAGUUAUGCACAACCCAAAUAACGCUUAUAGUAGCCAAUAUAGUGAUAAAAGAGUAAUUACAAAGAGUAAAAUUAUGUUAUGCGAAGUGAUUAAAAGAGUCAUUCUACCAAUUAUCUAAAGCAAAUCAAGAAAAUACACAUAGAUAAAAUAAUUCAUAAAAAGCGACUGGUUAGCCCCAAUCCGAAUAUGCCAAUUGUCCAUAAAAAUUAUGUCCGACGCUAUAAAUAAGAUUUAGGCUUGCGUCUCCAUAAAAAAAUGUGGCCGCUUAUCUACCGGAAACCAUGCUAAAAACAUAAGAGUUCUUUCUCAACAAAGAGCCUUUAUUUCAAUCUUUAUGAUUUUUGAUAAUUCUUAUGGCUUUCAAAAAUUCCAUACCAUUUUCACGUAAGAUAUCAAUCAAAUUAAUAAGGGAAAUACUGCAGGCAAAUAGGAAAAUAGUACUAUGACCAGGAUGCAUAGUCCCAAAUUUAAUCGACCAACUCAACUGAUGAAGAAGUCUUAUACUUGAUCCAACAAGGUUAGUCAAGCUAACAUUUAUUUUUAUGAAACUCCACCUAGCUUAUUAAAGGACACCAACAAUAUACAGGAUAACUAGACUAAAUCUUGCAUUCACUACAAUGGUGGUUUUAAGAUAGGUACAACCAUUCUUUCAGUGAUCCAACCGAAAAAUACCUUACAGUCAAAUCUCUGCCUUUGACUCACUACCAUUUUCCUAGAUGCAGUUGUCUUUCCACUUUCUUCUUUUUGAUUAAUUAAACAUAUUCACAGUCAACUAAAUUGCCUGAUGGUGAUGGUAUUAUGAUUAUGUAUUUAAUUAAUUCUUUGAUAGUACAAAACAACGCAAACUAAUCAUGUCUUCGAAAGAUAAGACAUAACUUGUCUUAUCUCCAAUGAAUGCCUUGAAAAAAAGAAACUAUUAGUGUUGUUUGAUUUCUUCAGUAGAUCCAAAAUAAAAUGAACUUGUCAAAUUGGGAUAAAGUAUCUUUGUCCUUGCAUAUUAAUAUCAAGAUUUCAAACCCUAUAGAAGAUAUUUCAUCAUGUCAAUUUAACUACAAAACCAAGGAGGAGUAAUUUCUCCCCUUUCCAUUUGAAACCUGUUUUUCAGAUUGGUAGUAACACAAAUAGGAAUACGAUUCAUAUCAUGUAUGGAAUCCAAUUACGCGAGGAAAUACGCAUGCUAAACACCGCAUUAAUUAAGUUCAAGAGACUCAGAUCAGGAACGAACUAUGUCCCCACUUAGUUGUUCGAACUAAAACGAUAUUAGCACACAGGACUGCUCUAUACAGAGUCAAGUAUGGUGCUUUAGUGCCAUAUGGUAUAUCUAUCUGGAUUCUGGACCAUUAUAAACAUGCCAUACUUGGCACAAUAGACUUUGGUGCCAUAUGGUAUAGCUAUCUUCACCAUUAUAAGCCUGCCAUACUUGGCACAAAAGACAGAUACAGAUACAGCAAAAGUUACCUAGUAGACACAUGAUAUAAUUCAUGAAAAAGUUGCCCAAUAAGCAUGCCGUACUUGGCACAAAAGACGGAUACACAUACUUGGAAAAGAUAUUUGAUAUUAAGACUUUUUAUCAUCAGCUCCUUUACAAGGAAAGAAUCCAUAUAAGGAAGAAGUAUCAAUGCCAAAAAUAAUUGCCUUUUUCAACUUUAAAGAUGGACACAAAAAUGAAUGGUUGGUUUCAGACGCCCUAUAUAUAUGAUGUUGUGCAUUACAAUGACCAAUUUCUUCCUAGCAUAUUGAUAUUAGUUCCUCAAGUCAGUAACAAAAUGAUAGAAGAUAGGUAUUAUGCAAUCCCAAGAAAUUGCAAUGCAUUGCUCCUAGCAAUGGCAUUGUAUAUCGAAUCAAUGAUUUACCAGAUAUUUCGAGUGAUUUCAAGAAUAAAAAAAAUCAAUAUUUUAUUAUAAGAUAUUUUUUAUUAAUUAUUUAAUGGAUAAAUAAAUGGAAAAGAUGAAAAGAUGUUAUCUAUCAGUUUUCCAUGUUGCCGUCGGCCAUAAGAGAAAAAUAAGAAGUUUUGAGCUUUAUUCAAUUUGGUCUUUUCCAUCAAAAUUCAUCAUUUUCACUUAAAAAUCAAAGGAAUUUUCAUAGCCUCUAAGAGGAAAAAGUGACAAGAAGAUUCUGGUGAGUAUGAAUAUCAUAUUGGAUUCAAGAGAAUUGAAGUUGGAGGAAAGAAAAAAAAAUCAAUCUAAGGCUUGAAAUCAUAAUUUUCGAUUUUAAUGUGUCGAAAAAAUAUAAAUUUUGUAUUCAAGUAAGAAAAAAAUAUCUAUUAAUACUAUUAUUAUUUAAGAAUUUUACUUAACUAUAUGAUGAAUUAAUCCAACCUCAAUUUACUUGUGAAUUUAUUAAAAAAGAUAAUUAUUUUAUAUAUUGUUACUGGAGUAAAAAAAUUCUAUCUAGAUUGAUGUCAUAGAGUAUAAUAAAAUAAUAAUUAAAAAAAACUUGGCAUUAAUUUGGAUCGCUUGUUGAGUUUUUUACUCCAUUGACAUUGGACAGAAUAAUUACCCUACUAAAGGUCUGUUAUUUAUAUCAAACAACAAAUAAUAUUUUAAAAUCUUUUUAUCUAAAAUAAAUAUGAUUUUAAAGGUAUUUUUUAUCUUUUGGACCCUUUUUAUCAUUAAUAAAAUAAACAUUUUUUGGACCCUUUUUAUCCAUGGGCCUUGAACAACUGCACUUCAAAACAGUCUCAGGACCAACCUUAAACUUAUUCUUCGAAGUCCCACCAAUAAGUUUAUCCUUAAAAAAACUACCCACCCGUUGGAUCAUUUAUAGCCAUAUUGCCCUCCUCUUGUCACUGAACUUUCUUAGUGGCUCGGCCAACGUCUUUGUCAUCUCUCCCAUUUCAGUGGUCAACAAAACUAUUAAGAGAAGAAUCCAUUUUGAUGCAUUCUAAGUAUAGUUUAUAUAUAUAUAUAUAUAUAUAUAUCUUGUGUGUCAUAUGGCAUGUUUAUAGUGGUUCAGAUAAAGAUACCAUAUGGCACCAAAGUCAUGUGUACAUUCCAUAUUAAGAAUAAACAAUUCUACCACCAUUAUAAACAUGCCAUACGUGGCACAAAAGAAAGACAUAUAACAAAUAUUGUCGAAGAGACGCAUGUCACCGCUCAUGGCUGUCCUUAUCUUUUGGGUUAGGAUGCAAUGUUUUUUAAAUUAUUGUAUCUUCUAUAUAUGAGAAUUAAAUAUUUUGAUACAAACAUGCCAUACUUAGCACAAAAGACAUAAAAAUACAUAAAAAGUUUAUUAAUAGACGCACCCUACUAUUUUCUAUCUUUUGAGUAAAAAAAUGGAGUGUUUUGGUAAUAAUGUAUAUUCUAUAUAUUUAAUCUUUCCUUAUAAGGAUGCACAUUGUGUUCUUGUAAAAAUUAAAUUUUUGAAAAUAAAUCUGACAUACUUGGCACAAAACAACAUACAGCAAAAGUUGCCUAAUACACUCACCUUAUCAUUUAUGUCUCUCUCUUUUGGGUAAAAAAUGCAGUGUUUUAGGUAUUAAUACAUAUCCUGAUUUUUGAAAUAUUUAUAUUAGCAUAUUUAACAUUAAAAUUUUUAAAAAGGAAAGAGUCCAUAUAUGGAAGAUAUACUACUGCCAAAAUUAAUUACCUUCUUUAAAUUAAAAGAUAGAUAUGGUAAUCAAUAGCUGGUCCCAAAUAGCCCUAUAAAUAUGAUGGUUUGCAACUCAGUGCACCAAAGCCCUAUUCCUAUGGCAAAACAUCCUUUUCCUCCUCUCAUACUAAGAUUAGUUCUUCAAGUCAGUAGUAAAAUGAUUCAGGGCAUGUGUUAUGCCAUGGAACUCGAAAUACUGCAUUGCUCCAAGCAAUGACAUCACAUAUCGGAUUAGUGACUUACCAGAUGUACUUAUCACUCCAUGCUCUUUCAUGAUGGCGAUGUUUGCAUCAUCAGGGAGAUGAGUCCACUGUUACAGUUUUCAGUGAUCUUAGAAUUAUCUGAUGCUGGAGAAGUAGUUCAAGGAAAGGGAGAAAGACCUGGAAGAGGUCUCAGUCCUAGAAUGUGUUUUCUUCCUCUUCUUCUUCCAUAGCACGCCUUUUUCAACAGAGACUGAAACUUGCCACAGAGGUUACUUUGCCACCAUGAAAUUGCUUCCUGGUUGGAUAGAUCAGCUAAACCAACCUACGUUGAACACAUUAAGAUUUUAUUGAUAUUUUACAUAUCAAGGUUCUAUCCUACUGUUUUGGUACAAAAUAUAGGAGUGACACCAACUUUUUUAAGAAUCAGAAAAAAAACACAAUUCAAAAUUUCAAAUUCAUAAUGAUAUCGAUAAGUGUUCAGAAAAUUCGUGAGUAAAUAUGCUGAUAACAAAAUUUGUACUAUGCAAGCUUGUAAACACCAACAAGGACAUGCCAAUUGUUAAAAAUGUUGUCCAACUGCUUGAUCCAACAUCAAGCAAUUAAAUGGGGUAAUCAUACGUGAUAAUCGUAGUUGAAUAAAAAAAGAAAAUUACGUGUCAACAGUUCCACUCUGACUCCGAUAUGUUAAAGGGAGUAGUCUGGAAGACUUAUAAAACAACUUCGCAACCGAACAAUUCUCAAUUGGUCUCACCACAAAAGAUUCCUGCCCAUUUAAGGUUUUUUAGCACAAAUCAUAUAUUAAGACACUUUCUUUCAGAGUUCUAGUUAAGCAUGGCAAAAGAACAUGGCCAUAUUGAUAAGAACAUGACACUUACAUCAGUAAAAUCAGAAGAAGUGCGAAGGACAUUGGGUAGUCGCCGGUUAGGCAAUUGAUUGCGAUUGUCGAUACUUCCUAAUGACCGAACCGUCUGGCAAGGCUUCACAAAUCGCCCUUGGGCAGAAUUGUGCCCAAAACAAAGAUGUGGGCCAUGCUCGUAAGAUUAAACCAAACAUCCAUACGACGAACAUAGCAAAUCAAGAAAUUUUUUUUUUUUUCAUUUCUCUUUUGGUCGGAUUUUGUUUUUUGAAAUUUCAAACUGUUAAUGAAAAUUCGAGAUUUUUAAUCUUUAAUUCGAUAAAAUAAUAUUUAUAUUAUGAUUUUUAAUAUUAUUUACUAUUUAGUAAAAAUUUAUUUUAAAUAUUUAAAAAUAUUAAUAUUUCAUGUAAAUGAGAAUAAUCUAUCAUUUUUACAUAAUAUAUAAAAUAAUAUAAUAUUUUUGUAUUAUUUCCAAUAUUUUAAUUAAGAAAUAUUUGUUUUAAAUUAAAAAAGAUAAAAUUAAUUAAAAAUAAAAUAGCUUGUAAGCCCAAACACGUUCAAACAGUUAACCCGCUCAUAUAGAUUCUCUUUUCUCAGCCACAAAGACCAUUUCUUUCUACGAGCCGCAAGUCAAUAUCCGCCUCUGAGUAAGCGGAUAGUCACUGCCAUCAGGGGAAUUUUUGACAUAUCCUUGUUAUUAACACGCGACGUUUCAAAAGUAGAAUAAAAUUAUUUAUAAUAUUAUGAUUAAAAACAAAAUUAAACCAAGUUUCAAAUAAACCAGGCACUCAAAGUUGUAAUAAAAUUUUGACACAUUAGUUGGUUUCAUUUUACACUCUUGCUAAAAAGCUCACACCAAAACCAAGGCCAGUAUCAUUCCAGGAUUUCUACCACAUGGUUACAAUCAGCAGUCAAAAUCCAUACGCCUAACAAGGAUGCCAAUUGCCUAAGGAAGAUUUUCGUGUGGACUAAGCAAAUAUCAGAUGGCAAUUUAACACUAACAUGAAACUCAAGUUGAUAAGCAAAUCAAAACUUCAAUGUCUAAUAUUUAUAACAUUUCUAGGGAACAACAGAACAUAACAUAAACUUGAACAUUCUAAGUAAAAGAGAAGAAAAAAACUGCUUUUAGUAUUAAAUCCCAACUACUACUUUCAGUCCGUACAUAACAGAAGGUAAAACAUAAACUCAAAAGAUCCUGUUUGAAGGACCCAUGGUGCUCUUCAAGUAGAGGCACCUCACCUGCAAUCAAGACAAAUUCAAACAGAAUAUGUAAUCAGCAUCGGGAAAAUAAUAGCAAAAUCACAUAUUUAUGCUCUACCAAGAACACGCGUGUGUAUGUUAUAUGCAGUAUGCUGAAAGGAGCAAUCAAGACAAAUUCAAACAGAAUAUGUAAUCAGCAUCGGGAAAAUAAUAGCAAAAUCACAUAUUUAUGCUCUACCAAGAACACGCGUGUGUAUGUUAUAUGCAGUAUGCUGAAAGGAGCAAUCAACCUAAACAAACCAAAGAUAAGAAGACUUACAUUUUGCCAAUUUUUCUUCAACAAAGAAACAAGGAAAUUGACGCUCAUUUGCACAUUUUGGAAGAUCUGCUUCUCCUCCAUUGCAACAUUCCCAACAGCAACUCCCAUGCAUAGAACCUUUUUCAGCUGGAACUUAACCAUUGCCUUUGUUUCAUUCACCUUCGACUCUAGGGAUUCCUGGUGAGUGACAAGGGUUGGGAAUUUACCUGUGUGUGACAACAGCAAGAUAAAAAAAAAAUUCAUGUCAGAACUGAUAAAUGCGAAACCCACAAACUAGGAUCUGCGACAAUGCUUUAGGAGGGCAAUCCAAGAACAGAUGCUCUUAUACAGCACUUGCCUGCUUUGUUGAGACCAGGACCCAAAAGACGAGGGAUUUGCUUGAUGACAGAUUCAGAAGCCAGAAAGGCAUGAUACUUCUUGGCAAGCUUCUUAACUAACUUCUUAUUCUUGUUUAGUUUCUUCAAUGCUUCCACAUCCAUAUAAUCCAAACCUAUCUUCUCUGCCUGCAGAACAAAGUAAACAAUUUAUGUUGGCCCUUUUUGACCAAAGUCCAAACAAUACAUUAUAUCAAAUUACAAAGGAUUUAUGCUGAAUAUCAAAGUCCAAACAAUUUAAUUUGACAUUCUUAUAGGAAAUAUAAACAAAGUUUCACAUAAGAAAGCUGCAAAAUCACCUCUUCAACGUGUUGAGCAUCUCCAAGCAUGCAAAUCUUCAUUUUGGGGCGAGGAAUAUGUGGAAGCUUCACAGACCCAC
This 14008-nucleotide long non-coding RNA is filed under the name Gossypium raimondii (Peruvian cotton). RNAcentral describes it as "long non-coding RNA (GRAI_LNC006908)". The record is from RNAcentral. Lineage: Eukaryota; Viridiplantae; Streptophyta; Magnoliopsida; Malvales; Malvaceae.